Molecule: long non-coding RNA, 542 nt
Organism: Rhincodon typus (whale shark)
Lineage: Eukaryota; Metazoa; Chordata; Chondrichthyes; Orectolobiformes; Rhincodontidae
Exons: 3
Source: RefSeq, a predicted model, not a curated record
AUGAAGAAACGCAAGAUGUCAGCUUUAACUUUUGAAGAGCUCCUGACAGAAAGGAAAAGGGGAAUAAUAACCUUUUUCUAAGAUGACUGGAGGAAACACAUAAGGAGCUCUCUGGAGAUUUAAAUUUUCUGAAGAUGUACAGAAUGCCUUUAAGGUUGGUAGAAGGUAAACAUUGUUUCUCUACUAUUCAUCAAGCUGUAAGUUUGUCGAUGACACCACUGUAGUGGGACGGAUAUCUAACAACAAUGAGUCAAAAUACAGAAGGGAGAUAGAGGGCUCGGUAAAGUGAAGCAAUGAAAACAAUCAAUCUCUCAAUGUCGGCAAAAUUAAAGAACUGAUCAUCGACUUCAGAAAGAAAGGAGGAGAACACACCCCCAUCUACAGUAAUAGAACUGAGAUUGACAGGGUGGAGGGCAUCAAGUUUCUCGGAGUGACGACAAUCGACAACCUGUCCUGGACUUCCCAUGUUGAUGCAACAGUCAGGAAGGCACAACAACACCUCUUCUUCCUCAGGCAGUUCAGGAAAUUUGCCAUGUCCAUAA